This 451-nucleotide ribosomal RNA is filed under the name uncultured bacterium. RNAcentral describes it as "partial 16S ribosomal RNA". It matches the Rfam family "Bacterial small subunit ribosomal RNA", at positions 29 to 523 of the family's 1533-position model. The record is from RNAcentral.
UACGAACGCUGGCGGCAGGCUUAACACAUGCAAGUCGAACGGGUGUAGCAAUACAUCAGUGGCGCACGGGUGAGUAACGCGUGGGAAUAUGCCCUUUGGUACGGAACAACCUCGGGAAACUGAGGCUAAUACCGUAUAAUAUCUGCGGAUCAAAGAUUUAUCGCCAAAGGAUUAGCCCGCGUUGGAUUAGGUAGUUGGUGAGGUAACGGCUCACCAAGCCGACGAUCCAUAGCUGGUCUGAGAGGAUGAUCAGCCACACUGGGACUGAGACACGGCCCAGACUCCUACGGGAGGCAGCAGUGAGGAAUAUUGGACAAUGGAGGAAACUCUGAUCCAGCCAUGCCGCGUGAGUGACGAAGGCCUUAGGGUUGUAAAGCUCUUUUACCCGGGAUGAUAAUGACAGUACCGGGAGAAUAAGCUCCGGCUAACUCCGUGCCAGCCGCCGCCGUAA